This is a non-coding RNA of Amborella trichopoda, 4400 nucleotides long. The record is from RefSeq and is a predicted model, not a curated record. Lineage: Eukaryota; Viridiplantae; Streptophyta; Magnoliopsida; Amborellales; Amborellaceae.
UUAUAGAACAAAACUAAUUACAGAGGGGGAGGUCAGAGCUUUGAAACUCCUCGCUUGACGAUUGCUCGCUUUUGGUUCCUUUUGAAAUUCUUCUCUUCACAGUUACAGGUUCAGUACUUCACACAACCUGCGUGUCGAAGCACACAAAACGGCAGUGUCCGCUCCUCAUUUCCCAAAUUCAAAUUGCUUUACUUUAUUCACUCUCCCGCUCUCUCUCUCUUCUCCGGACUGCUGCUUCUUUUUCUGCUGUGUAUGGUCAUCGCCAUUUCCCCCUUUCUCUCACUGAACUUCUCUCUCUCUAUGCUUCAGUUUCUCCCCCUUUCCCAGAUAGGAAUGAUCCCCUCAGCUUUCAUUUCCUCUCUCUAAACCUCUUAUUUCGCUCUCUUAUUCAUUGGGAAAACGCACUGCGGAGUAGCGAAAAAAUUGAAAAAACAUGGAUGACAGCGUUGAUGUUCCCAUGGAGGAAGCGGUUGAAGCCCUAAUUGAUACUCUGGUGUGUCCUCUGCUUCCAAGCAGAGCGUCCAACUCCUCUGCUCUGUCUCCUGCUCAAGAACAAAAAGUAGCUAACCAGAUGCAUGCAGCUGUGUUGCUCUACAACUAUUACCACCGAUGCGAAUUUCCACAGCUUGAAUUUCUCGGGUUUGAAAAUUUUUGCAAGGUUGCAGUAAAUGCUAAGCCAAAUUUGUUAACUUACAUGAAGUUCAUGAAGGAAUUCUCCACAAAAUCAACUGAGAAAUACCAAGAGCUUUCUCUCACAGAAAAAAUGGUUAAGGAGGCAUGCGAUAUCGCUGAAGGACUCAAUGCAUCAAAACCAGUUCCAAACAUACAAAGUUGGCCUGUCACAAAAGUUGCAGUUUUCUUAAUUGACUCUAUGAGAAAGAACUGUUUAUUGAUGUUUGGUUCUAUAACACUGGGUGUCUGGUCACUUAUAGAAGAGAAGAUCGAAUCAAAGGAUACAAAGAUGAAAGCACCUACAAGAGUAGUCCAUAUGGAAACUAGUGGAAUGCCAAUAUUCAACUCAACUGAAGGUGACCUUUUGAAAAUUGCAUUCACAGCUGUCAAAAAACAAACAGGCAUUGAUCAGGCUGAUUUGAAUGUGUUGGAAAGAAGUUUUUCAUACUCCCUAAGCAAAAAAAGGGAAGCUGUCCAACUUUAUGUGAUGCAAUCUGUUAAGAGAAUUGAUGGUGAAAUCCGCCAAGUUCCCAUAAAAGAUGUCGUGAAUAGCCUGGACGGUCCAAUAUUCAGGAAGGAGUUCCUCAAUUAUGAAACAACUUCGGUAGUUGAGUAUUUCCAUUUACUACCAUAUAAGGCUUUCAUCUCGGAAUGGUUCUCUAGGGAAGCUUUACUUGGUGGAUCAAAACUUUCAGCGGAGGCAUCUGCUAACUCAAAUGGAUCAACUGGCUCUAAUGUCUCAAAUAAGACAAAUUUGGCUGUGAACAACAUACAUCCAGCGGGGAAAAUUGAUGCAGGAACAGAUAAUGAAGCUCUUCAUCAUGACCAUAGAGAAAUGAAACACCACGCAUCACCAUGUUGUAUCGCAAAACCUGCUGAGGAAGCUAAGAUUUCUCCUACUUUGGAUUGCUCAAAACUUGAGGUCACUAAUGAUGGAUCCCAAGAUGGUUCACUUGAAAAACGCAAACCGCUCCCACUCACUCCAAGGGUUUCAAUUAGGCUUGAACGUUCCAACAAUGACAGUGUAAAAGAAAUGGACACAUCUAGCAAGCCAUGUGAUACAAACAAAACAAACCCAGAGCUAAAAAUGGUGGAUUCGUCUUGCAAGCCACAUGAUACCAAACUAAUGAACUCAAAGCUGAAAAGGAUGGAUUCAUCUAGCCAGCCAUGCGAUACCAAGAUAACGAACUCAGAGAUAAGAAUGACGGCCUCAUCUAACAGCCUGUGUAAUACUACUAAUACCAAGGUAACAGAUUCAGCACUUAAAAGGGUGGACUCGUCUAGCAAGGCAUGUGAUACCAAGAUGAUGAACUCAAAACUAAGAACUAUGGAUCCUUCUAGCAAGCCAUGUGAUACAAAGUUUACAAACUCAACAUUAGGAAUGGUGGACUCAUCUAGCAACCAAUCCGAUACAAAGAUUGCAACUUCAAAGCCAACAGUGAUGGAUUCACCCAGCAAGCCAUCUGCUACCAAUAUUUCUGAUUCAAAGCUAGAAAUAUCUAGCAAGCGAGGUGAUACCAAGAUUACAAACUCAGAGGUAAAAGUGAUGGAUUCAUCUGGCAAGCCAUGCGAUACCAAGAUAACAAACUCAGAACUUGGAGGGAGUAAGUUCUUCUGCAAGGAGGGUUCCCACAAUCAAGAUGAGAUGCUUGAAGAUGCACUUCCAUCUGCUGCUGUCAAGGGUCACUCAGACAAAUCCCAUGAAGUACUUAAGAUGUUGCAUUCCAGGAGAGAUGAUUUGUUUCAGGCUGCUUUAUCAGCCCUUUAUAGAAAAAGAGAUGAGCUGGUUCAUCAGAAACGGUUGGCAGAAGAUGAGAUUUGCAGAUGUGAGAAAAGCCUACUAACAAUCAUGAAUGAAGAGGAAGAUGCUCUAGAGUUAUCAAUAGAUUUGAUUAUGGAAGCUUGUAAGAAGGCAUGUUGUAAAGGAGAUACUCAAAUUUCCACAGUGGGGCAUGAGACUUCUAGAGGGAAUUGUUCAUUUCAAAAUGUAAAAAGGAAAAAGCUGUCGGAGGCUGUACUUUAUCUUAAAAGUUCAUGCCAGGAACUAGAUGAAAUAUGCGUCAAAAACCAGUGGUUACCACCAAGCUACAACACUUUCCCAGCAGAUGCGUUUGGACUCAUUUGUGCAAACGUAAUGAUUCAUGGAGUGGACUUUGAAUUUUGCGAGCGUGGUGAGUUGAAAAGCACUCCACAAGAAGCAAGGGAGUCGGCAGCCGCAACUAUGUUGACUAAAUUACGAAUUACUGUUAGCGAGACACAGUAGUUUGAGUUGGCAUUAGAGACGAAAGAAUGACAAAUCGAUCAUGCCAUUUUACCUGAAAGAAAAACUGAAAGUUCCAUUGUUGGUCCCCUUUGACAUGGCACAGUAUCCUCUUACCCUCUUGCUCUUUUAUUCCAUCAGCCACAUCUCAAUGGGGACUUGUAGAUGAAUCUAAGAACAGAAGAUAUUGGCACUUGGAUCAGCGGAUAGGGCAUUAGGGGUCCUGCAGCACAUUCGAGACAUGAGUUUUACCUCUAAACUACCCAAAUAAAAACCAGUACUGAACGUCUGAAAACUCCAAAUGAGGAUCUCCUCAAGUGGUGGGCAACUGGAGACGGAUUCAGGUAAAACUGAACCCUGGAGCUUGAGGAAGCUUGCUCCCCCCCUUUCGCCUUUCCUCUUUCCCUUCCCUCAAUGCCUACCGUUCUCCAUCCCUACCAUCUUUCGUCAUUGCACAAUCCUCCUCUCCCUCCACCUCCCUUUUCCCAUGACUUCUAAUAUUAGUUGUAAGUGACAAUGGUGGUUCCGGAUGAGCAACCUCAAGACCCACCGCCUGAACCUCUGGACCUGAAUCCAUGGAAGUGAGCGAAAGUUUUUUGAGAAAUGGUUGAGAGGGGAUCCAGCUCACUAAGAUUUCUGGCAAAAACCUACAUAGUGGUAAUGGAAGAUGGCAAGGUCAAAGCUCCUUCCACAAGAGAAGGUCCAUGUGAGUUCAAAAUUUUGGGGGGCCUCUCAUUGGGAUCUUACCAAGGUCAAAGCUCCUUCCACAAGAAAAGGUCUUUGGGAGUUCAAAAUUUUGGGCGGCCCUCUCAUUGGGAUUUUCUAUGGAAGAAGACCUUAAUGAGUCUGUCCUCUACAAAGAUUCACACAAACUUGGAACAUAAAAGGAACGCUCGGCAUUAUAGCCAAAGAGGACAACCAUAUUGUUUCUGGAUUUGAUCUAAGGUAGCAUAUGGGGAAAAGAAAGUUACAAAUAGAGGGCCCCAUUUUAUAGGGGAGGUUUCAUAUAACUCAAAUGUUGUCAGUCCCUUUGGACACCUUCAAUGGACUACAAUCCGUACCAUUCCCAUGGGCUAGGUUAACAGACCUUCCAUAUCAUCUUUGGUUGGUUCAUAGCUGCUUCCAUUGAACCCCUGUUUCAAUGGACAACUACUCAUGAUGAUAAACAAGUAGAUUUUGCUCUUAUGGGUCAGGACGAUUGUAGGGGAAAAGUUCUUGCAAAACGUUUUGAGUAUGAAACUGUUUUGAAACCAUGCUCCACUGCAUGACUCUUGGUCAUGAGACACAAAACUCCUUGUUGCGUCCAAUUUGAGAUGGUACAGCUGGUGCACAAGCACCUUUCUGUGUUCAUAUUAGAAGGGGUGAAAAUAGACAUGAGUGUAUAAUAGCGUUUUAAUUUAAAACUCUCUUUUUGUAUAGAUUGGGUAGAUAAUAAAUUUUGAAGGUGUGCAGGCUACACUUAGGCAGA